RNAcentral lists this ribosomal RNA (396 nucleotides) under uncultured bacterium. Its description in RNAcentral is "bacterial SSU rRNA". It matches the Rfam family "Bacterial small subunit ribosomal RNA", at positions 355 to 765 of the family's 1533-position model. The record is from RNAcentral.
UUAGGAAUUUUGCGCAAUGGGCGAAAGCCUGACGCAGCAACGCCGCGUGAGGGAAGACGGCUUUCGGGUUGUAAACCUCUUUUAGCAGGGACGAACACAAUGACGGUACCUGCAGAAAAAGCACCGGCUAACUACGUGCCAGCAGCCGCGGUAAUACGUAGGGUGCAAGCGUUAUUCGGAUUUAUUGGGCGUAAAGCGCAUGUAGGCGGUUCGGUAAGUCUGGUGUGAAAGCCCUCGACUCAAUCGAGGAAGUGCAUUGGAUACUGUCGAACUGGAGUACAGGAGGGGUGAGCGGAAUUCCAGGUGUAGAGGUGAAAUUCGUAGAUAUCUGGAGGAACAACAGCGGCGAAGGCGGCUCACUGGACUGUAACUGACGCUCAGAUGCGAUAGUGUGGG